Molecule: RNA transcript, 768 nt
Organism: Panicum virgatum (switchgrass)
Lineage: Eukaryota; Viridiplantae; Streptophyta; Magnoliopsida; Poales; Poaceae
Exons: 3
Source: RefSeq, a predicted model, not a curated record
CUUUGGUCUUGCACCGAUGGUCCGUUUUCUAGCAGUGCGUUGGGAGGCAUUCGUGGCGGCGGAUCGGCCCCCGGCCGUCUCUCGCCGGCGUGGCGGCAGAUCGGCUCCCGCCCGAAGGUCGCCAUACGGUCUUAACCCUGGGAGGUGGGGUGGCAGCCCAUGUUUGCCGGCGGACACUCAUCCGUCCGGUGGAUCGAGGCCCCGCCUGGUGCUCGAUGACGAGGACGGCUUCGGCGGCGGCAGGUGGAUGGGGAUCCCCGAGCGGGUGCGGUACAGCCUCGCUCAACGCCACCGUCAGGUUCACCUUCCGCAACAUCUGCACCUUCUUCGGGGUGCACUCCCGCCGAUCCCGUCACGCUCUACUACACCCCUCCCGCUCGCCUCCGGCAAUGUUUUGUGCAGAUCAUUAAUUCAGCAGUUUCUUCUCUUUUUCUUUACAGCUUGAGGUUUGUGUCUCUUACCUUAUCAGAAUUGGAAUUUCUUAUAUCAAAUAUGAAGGUUCCCUAUUUCUUUCUGUAUCAUGUGCAGGAUCACAGUUCCUAUAUUGCCUUGGAUAGAUCUACUGAUUGGAUAUAGUUGUUGCGGUUUGGUCUUGAUCAGUCAGCUUUGGGGCGAUCACGGGAGGGCUGCUUCUUCAUCGGCGAUUGCUGCGUUGGGGCGCGCUGCUUUGAUAAAAAAUAUUGUACAGGAUUUAAACUUACGUUUGAUGCUGUAUUCAAUAUAUAGAUUGAGAAUUUUCAGUGAAAAAAAGGCCCAGUUUAGUGGUCA